This 252-nucleotide ribosomal RNA is filed under the name uncultured bacterium. RNAcentral describes it as "partial 16S ribosomal RNA". It matches the Rfam family "Bacterial small subunit ribosomal RNA", at positions 524 to 776 of the family's 1533-position model. The record is from RNAcentral.
GACGAAGGGGGCUAGCGUUGCUCGGAUUGACUGGGCGUAAAGGGCGCGUAGGCGGUUCGUACAGUCAGACGUGAAAUCCUGGGCUCAACCUGGGGGCUGCGUUUGAUACGUGCGGACUUGAGUGCGGAAGAGGGUCGUGGAAUUCCCAGUGUAGAGGUGAAAUUCGUAGAUAUUGGGAAGAACACCGGUGGCGAAGGCGGCGACCUGGUCCGAUACUGACGCUGAGGCGCGAAAGCGUGGGGAGCAAACAGG